AUUGAACGCUGGCGGCAUGCCUUACACAUGUAAGUCGAACGGCAGCAUGGAGAGCUUGCUCUCUGAUGGCGAGUGGCGAACGGGUGAGUAAUGCAUCGGAACGUACCGUGUAAUGGGGGAUAACGUAGCGAAAGUUACGCUAAUACCGCAUACGACCUGAGGGUGAAAGCAGGGGAUCGCAAGACCUUGCGUUAUACGAGCGGCCGAUGUCAGAUUAGCUAGUUGGUGAGGUAAAGGCUCACCAAGGCGACGAUCUGUAGCGGGCCUGAGAGGGUGAUCCGCCACACUGGGACUGAGACACGGCCCAGACUCCUCCGGGAGGCAGCAGUGUGGAAUUUUUGACAAUGGGGGCAACCCUGAUCCAGCCAGGCCGCGUGAGUGAAGAAGGCCUUCGGGUUGUAAAGCUCUUUCGGCCGGGAAGAAAUCGCACAGGCUAAUACUCUGUGUGGAUGACGGUACCGGCAUAAGAAGCACCGGCUAACUACGUGCCAGCAGCCGCCGUAA
Molecule: ribosomal RNA, 504 nt
Filed under: uncultured bacterium
Lineage: Bacteria
Description: partial 16S ribosomal RNA
Rfam family: Bacterial small subunit ribosomal RNA
Source: RNAcentral